AUGGAUGCUCAGGUGACUGACCCGUCAGGACUGCAACAAAAGAACUGAAGCUGCAGGAGCGAGCUGGCUGGUGCUGUGCGGAGCUGUGGUGCAGAAGGCCCUCACCAGGGGUGCCCGGAGCCAGGGACUGUGCGCCGCGGACUGGGUCCAGGUCACAGGCGCUGGGUGAACAGAAUGAGAAGACGAAGUGAGGAUGUACUCGUUAGAUGCUCACGAAAGGCCUUCUUCCCCUUGGUUGGGAACGACCCCCCAGAAACUAGCCCCAGACCGCACCUGGAUUCAGCUGCAGGCAACUCAGAGGAGCAUGAGCCCAGGGGCCUCGGGAGGGCUUCGGUGGUUAGGAGGGGGGUGAAGGGAGACUCGGGAGGGCCGCGGGUGGGAGCAGCUCUAAGAGCCCUACAGCUUGCAUGGAAACACAACAGACUUCCCUUUUGCACUGUCUGCGGGGACAACUGUUCCAGCCCUGAGGGGACGAGGGAACGCUGUGCUGUGGGGAAAGCCCGGGGAAAGCCCGGGUGGCAGGAGGUGGCGGGGCUCCUGGAGGAGGUGCUGGGAUGUGCUGCUGUGGCUGCUGAGAAAGGUCCUGAGGACGCAGCCUGCCCCUUCCCCGAGCUUCGAGCUUCGAGGGAGCCCCGCGGGGAAGACCCGCAGGGUCUCCGGGAGGGCGGAACAGGGGAGCCUGGAGUCUCAGGGCUGAGGGGAGCAGAGUCUUUCUGGGAGGUGAGCGUCCCCAGCCUGCCCUCCCUGCUCACUGCAGGUCGCGCACCUGCUCUGCUCUGGGCCUCCCCUCAGCCCUGGCCUCUAGGCAGUUUCCUUUCUGCCAGGUAGAUUCUGUGCAACUUCAUUUAUUCAGAAUCUGGAUCAACAAAUGAACACUCAGGGAGGAAAGGGGUGUUUGGAGGGGUGGAGAGGUUUCCAAGCAGGCGCCCACCUGAGGGCCCCCUGA
Molecule: long non-coding RNA, 946 nt
Organism: Chlorocebus sabaeus (green monkey)
Lineage: Eukaryota; Metazoa; Chordata; Mammalia; Primates; Cercopithecidae
Product: long intergenic non-protein coding RNA 2881
Source: RefSeq, a predicted model, not a curated record